RNAcentral lists this ribosomal RNA (386 nucleotides) under uncultured bacterium. RNAcentral's name for it is "bacterial SSU rRNA". It matches the Rfam family "Bacterial small subunit ribosomal RNA", at positions 30 to 416 of the family's 1533-position model. The record is from RNAcentral.
AUUGAACGCUGGCGGCAUGCCUUACACAUGCAAGUCGAACGGCAGCACGGGAGCAAUCCUGGUGGCGAGUGGCGAACGGGUGAGUAAUGUAUCGGAACGUACCUUUCAGUGGGGGAUAACGUAGCGAAAGUUACGCUAAUACCGCAUAUUCUGUGAGCAGGAAAGCAGGGGAUCGCAAGACCUUGCGCUGAUUGAGCGGCCGAUAUCAGAUUAGCUAGUUGGUGAGGUAAAGGCUCACCAAGGCGACGAUCUGUGGCGGGUCUGAGAGGAUGAUCCGCCACACUGGAACUGAGACACGGUCCAGACUCCUACGGGAGGCAGCAGUGGGGAAUUUUGGACAAUGGGCGCAAGCCUGAUCCAGCCAUGCCGCGUGAGUGAAGAAGGCC